Molecule: ribosomal RNA, 492 nt
Filed under: uncultured bacterium
Lineage: Bacteria
Description: partial 16S ribosomal RNA
Rfam family: Bacterial small subunit ribosomal RNA
Source: RNAcentral
AGUGAACGCUGGCGGUAGGCCUAACACAUGCAAGUCGAACGGCAGCACAGUAAGAGCUUGCUCUUACGGGUGGCGAGUGGCGGACGGGUGAUGAAUACAUCGGAAUCUACUUUUUCGUGGGGGAUAACGUAGGGAAACUUACGCUAAUACCGCAUACGACCUACGGGUGAAAGCAGGGGAUCUUCGGACCUUGCGCGAUUGAAUGAGCCGAUGUCGGAUUAGCUAGUUGGCGGGGUAAAGGCCCACCAAGGCGACGAUCCGUAGCUGGUCUGAGAGGAUGAGCAGCCACACUGGAACUGAGACACGGUCCAGACUCCUACGGGAGGCAGCAGUGGGGAAUAUUGGACAAUGGGCGCAAGCCUGAUCCAGCCAUACCGCGUGGGUGAAGAAGGCCUUCGGGUUGUAAAGCCCUUUUGUUGGGAAAGAAAAGCAGCAGGUUAAUACCCCGCUGUUCUGACGGUACCCAAAGAAUAAGCACCGGCUAACUUCGUG